RNAcentral lists this ribosomal RNA (305 nucleotides) under uncultured bacterium. Its description in RNAcentral is "partial 16S ribosomal RNA". It matches the Rfam family "Bacterial small subunit ribosomal RNA", at positions 508 to 807 of the family's 1533-position model. The record is from RNAcentral.
ACAGCAGUCGCCGCGGUAAUACGUAGGUGGCAAGCGUUGUCCGGAAUUAUUGGGCGUAAAGGGCUCGCAGGCGGUUUCUUAAGUCUGAUGUGAAAGCCCCCGGCUCAACCGGGGAGGGUCAUUGGAAACUGGGAAACUUGAGUGCAGAAGAGGAGAGUGGAAUUCCACGUGUAGCGGUGAAAUGCGUAGGGAUGUGGAGGAACACCAGUGGCGAAGGCGACUCUCUGGUCUGUAACUGACGCUGAGGAGCGAAAGCGUGGGGAGCGAACAGGAUUAGAUACCCCGGUAGUCCCUGUCUCUUAUAC